ACUGCUCAGUAACACGUCGGUAACCUACCCUCGGGAGGGGGAUAACCCCGGGAAACUGGGGCUAAUCCCCCAUAGGCCUGAGGUACUGGAAGGUCCUCAGGCCGAAAGGGGCUUUUGCCCGCCCGAGGNUGGGCCGGCGGCCGAUUAGGUAGUUGGUGGGGUAACGGCCCACCAAGCCGAAGAUCGGUACGGGCUGUGAGAGCAGGAGCCCGGAGAUGGACACUGAGACACGGGUCCAGGCCCUACGGGGCGCAGCAGGCGCGAAACCUCCGCAAUGCGGGAAACCGCGACGGGGGGACCCCGAGUGCCGUGGCAUCGCCACGGCUUUUCCGGAGUGUAAAAAGCUCCGGAAAUAAGGGCUGGGCAAGGCCGGUGGCAGCCGCCGCGGUAA
Molecule: ribosomal RNA, 391 nt
Filed under: uncultured archaeon
Lineage: Archaea
Description: bacterial SSU rRNA
Rfam family: Archaeal small subunit ribosomal RNA
Source: RNAcentral